CUUAGAGUUUGAUCCUGGCUCAGGACGAACGCUGGCGGCAGGCUUAACACAUGCAAGUCGAACGCCCCUUCGGGGGAGUGGCGGACGGGUAAGUAACGCGUGGGAAUCUGCCCAGGAGUACGGAAUAACUCAUGGAAACGUGAGCUAAUACCGUAUACGCCCUUCGGGGGAAAGAAUUUCGCUCUUGGAUGAGCCCGCGUCUGAUUAGGUAGUUGGUGGGGUAAAAGCCUACCAAGCCUACGAUCAGUAGCUGGUUUGAGAGGACGACCAGCCACACUGGGACUGAGACACGGCCCAGACUCCUACGGGAGGCAGCAGUGAGGAAUCUUGGACAAUGGGCGAAAGCCUGAUCCAGCCAUGCCGCGUGGAUGAUGAAGGCCUUAGGGUUGUAAAAUCCUUUCGCCGCUGAAGAUAAUGACGGUAAGCGGAGAAGAAGCCCCGGCUAAUUUCGUGCCAGCAGCCGCGGUAAUACGAAAGGGGCUAGCGUUGUUCGGAAUUACUGGGCGUAAAGCGAGUGUAGGCGGACUGGUCAGUUGGGGGUGAAAUCCCGGGGCUCAACCUCGGAACUGCCUUCAAUACUGCCGGUCUCGAGGAUGGGAGAGGUGAGCGGAAUUCCGAGUGUAGAGGUGAAAUUCGUAGAUAUUCGGAGGAACACCAGAGGCGAAGGCGGCUCACUGGACCAUUACUGACGCUGAGGCUCGAAAGCGUGGGGAGCAAACAGGAUUAGAUACCCCGGUAGUCCACGCCGUANACGAUGAGAGCUAGUUGUCGGGCGGCAUGCCGCUCGGUGACGCAGCUAACGCAUUAAGCUCUCCGCCUGGGAAGUACGG
This 830-nucleotide ribosomal RNA is filed under the name uncultured Pseudomonadota bacterium. Its description in RNAcentral is "bacterial SSU rRNA". It matches the Rfam family "Bacterial small subunit ribosomal RNA", at positions 1 to 885 of the family's 1533-position model. The record is from RNAcentral. Lineage: Bacteria; Pseudomonadati; Pseudomonadota.